UACGUAGGGUGCGAGCGUUAAUCGGAAUUACUGGGCGUAAAGCGUGCGCAGGCGGUUUUGUAAGACAGCUGUGAAAUCCCCGGGCUCAACCUGGGAACUGCGGUUGUGACUGCAAGACUCGAGUACGGCAGAGGGGGGUGGAAUUCCUGGUGUAGCAGUGAAAUGCGUAGAUAUCAGGAGGAACACCGAUGGCGAAGGCAGCCUCCUGGGCCUGUACUGACGCUCAUGCACGAAAGCGUGGGGAGCAAACAGG
Molecule: ribosomal RNA, 253 nt
Filed under: uncultured bacterium
Lineage: Bacteria
Description: partial 16S ribosomal RNA
Rfam family: Bacterial small subunit ribosomal RNA
Source: RNAcentral